UGCCAGACUCCUACGGGAGGCAGCAGUGAGGAAUAUUGGUCAAUGGGCGGAAGCCUGAACCAGCCAAGUCGCGUGAGGGAAGAAGGCCCUGCGGGUCGCAGACCUCUUUGGACGGGGAGCAAGGCCGCCGACGUGUCGGCGGAAGGAGAGUACCCGUAGAACAAGCAUCGGCUAACUACGUGCCAGCAGCCGCGGUAAUACGUAGGGGGCAAGCGUUAUCCGGAUUCACUGGGUGUAAAGGGAGCGUAGACGGCGACGCAAGUCUGGAGUGAAAGCCCGGGGCCCAACCCCGGGACUGCUCUGGAAACUGCGGCGCUGGAGUACGGGAGGGGCAGGCGGAAUUCCUGGUGUAGCGGUGAAAUGCGUAGAUAUCAGGAGGAACACCGGUGGCGAAGGCGGCCUGCUGGACUGCGACUGACGUUGAGGCCCGAAAGCGUGGGGAGCAAACAGGAUUAGAUACCCCAGUA
Molecule: ribosomal RNA, 467 nt
Filed under: uncultured bacterium
Lineage: Bacteria
Description: partial 16S ribosomal RNA
Rfam family: Bacterial small subunit ribosomal RNA
Source: RNAcentral